AACAUCUAUUAUUUGUAUUAGAUCCUUGUCCAGUCAAUUAGAUAUUUGUCCAGUCAAUGUAAACCUUGUCCAGUCAGUGUGAACAUUGCCCAGUCUAGUUGCUAUUAUAGGGAGAUAACACAGAUAACACACAAACAUUGGUAUGUUUAUAAGAAACAUUUACAACAGUUGACUAGAAAAAGAUGUACAGAUGAAGUAUUAUUAAGUGAUACAUAUAUUGUCGGCAAAAGUGCAAUUGAUGUUUUUGUGUUUGAAGGAAAAAAUCACACCCUGUUUGUAGAAUACCUCAUUUAGGAUAUAAUGGAAUAUUGGAAUGAGAAACUUCUUGCAGAUGCUCGGACUGGAAAUGUACACGAUGUGAAAAUAUGCUUAGAGAAUAAAGCAGACAUUGAUUAUCAAUCGGUAGGU
Molecule: long non-coding RNA, 408 nt
Organism: Mytilus californianus (California mussel)
Lineage: Eukaryota; Metazoa; Mollusca; Bivalvia; Mytilida; Mytilidae
Exons: 5
Source: RefSeq, a predicted model, not a curated record